RNAcentral lists this ribosomal RNA (177 nucleotides) under uncultured Bacillota bacterium. Its description in RNAcentral is "uncultured Firmicutes bacterium partial 16S ribosomal RNA". It matches the Rfam family "Bacterial small subunit ribosomal RNA", at positions 348 to 517 of the family's 1533-position model. Lineage: Bacteria; Bacillati; Bacillota. The record is from RNAcentral.
ACGGCAGUAGGGAAUUUUCGUCAAUGGGGGAAACCCUGAACGAGCAAUGCCGCGUGAGCGAAGAAGGAUUUCGGUCUGUAAAGCUCUGUUGUAAAGGAAGAACGCUAGACAAAGGAAAUGUUGUGUAGUUGACGGUACUUUACCAGAAAGCCACGGCUAACUACGUGCCAGCAGCCG